UCCAGACUCCUACGGGAGGCAGCAGUGAGGAAUAUUGGUCAAUGGACGCAAGUCUGAACCAGCCAUGCCGCGUGCAGGAAGACGGCUCUAUGAGUUGUAAACUGCUUUUGUACGAGGGUAAACGCAGAUACGUGUAUCUGUCUGAAAGUAUCGUACGAAUAAGGAUCGGCUAACUCCGUGCCAGCAGCCGCGGUAAUACGGAGGAUUCAAGCGUUAUCCGGAUUUAUUGGGUUUAAAGGGUGCGUAGGCGGAGUGUCAAGUCAGCGGUAAAAUUUCGGGGCUCAACCCCGUCGUGCCGUUGAAACUGGCAGUCUCGAGUUGGAGAGAAGUAUGCGGAAUGCGCGGUGUAGCGGUGAAAUGCAUAGAUAUCGCGCAGAACUCCGAUUGCGAAGGCAGCAUGCCGGCUCCACACUGACGCUGAGGCACGAAAGCGUGGGUAUCGAACAGGAUUAGAUACCCUCGUAA
Molecule: ribosomal RNA, 465 nt
Filed under: uncultured bacterium
Lineage: Bacteria
Description: bacterial SSU rRNA
Rfam family: Bacterial small subunit ribosomal RNA
Source: RNAcentral